This 362-nucleotide unclassified non-coding RNA is filed under the name uncultured Actinomycetes bacterium. RNAcentral's name for it is "uncultured actinobacterium contains 16S-23S intergenic spacer region". Lineage: Bacteria; Bacillati; Actinomycetota; Actinomycetes. The record is from RNAcentral.
UCCGGGUUGGACCCGGCGGUCCCGCCAGACAUGAUAACUGGCAGCAGGGGUUGCGCUCGUUGCGGCACUUAAGCCAACACCUCACGGCACGAGCUGACGACAGCCAUGCAGCACCUGUGCUGGGCCCUUACGGACACGGGCUUUCACCCGCUUUACCCAGCAUGUCAAGCCUAGGUAAGGUUCUUCGCGUUGCAUCGAAUUAAGCCACAUGCUCCGCCGCUUGUGCGGGUCCCCGUCAAUUCCUUUGAGUUUUAGCCUUGCGGCCGUACUCCCCAGGCGGAGUGCUUAAUGCGUUAGCUGCGGCACGGAGCGGGUUGAAGACCGCCCCACACCUAGCACUCAACGUUUACGGCUGGGACUAC